This is a long non-coding RNA of Coregonus clupeaformis (lake whitefish), 1656 nucleotides long. RefSeq lists it as uncharacterized. Lineage: Eukaryota; Metazoa; Chordata; Actinopteri; Salmoniformes; Salmonidae. The record is from RefSeq and is a predicted model, not a curated record. The transcript has 8 exons.
CGACGCUACCGGCUACGGAAGAGACACCAACGGCCGGGUUGCUGCAACAUCUGCACUAGCAUCUUCGAUCCUAUGAGCUGUCAGCCAUACAGGGAAGCCUGUCUAUCCACCUGCAAUCUGACUUCAAUGAUACAAUCCCACUCUCUGCAUACAAGAUUGAUGGCUUGCUGCUGUUGACUCCCAAGAGGUUCAUACAAGUGAGACAAAAUUAAGACCACUCACUCUAUGUGAUGGCAGCUGAAGCCCCACAAAACAUGAUCCUUCGUGUCAUCGAGGCAGACCGUGUUAGAAAAUUAAAACUCAGCUCCCGUCCAGCCUCUGUUGAUGCAGUGAUUGAGAUUCAGUUUGCAAUACAAAAAUCCAGACUUUGAUGGAAAACUCACUUGCCUUGUUGACAUCGAGGAGUUACCACAAAAAGCCUGUGUUCAUAUUUCAGUUAGACAGGAUUCCAGUUCUCUUGCAUCAACUGAUACCCUUUCAGAUGUGUCAUCCCCAGAACAUCUGAGCAGAUGGCCUCCAGGUCCUUUACAAAUUCCCACAUUUGCAUUUGACGUUGAGCUGACACUUAGAGAUGGGAAUGCUGAAUUUGAAAAGAAUGAGAGACCUCUUCAGUUGUCAAGGGACCAAAAGCACUAUAUUUUAGACAAACUGGCAUCUACCAUAUAUGGUUUUAAGGCUUACCCCAGUGAUAAAGAGAUAGCAAUGGUGGCUGAAGCUCUUGUGAGGAAACACCCAUGAUUAAAAGAAGCAGGAUCUGACAAUGGAUGGGAUGGCUGGAAGAACAGCAUCAAGUUUAAAAUGGGCAAUUACAGGACCAAGAUGAGAAGGGCUGGAUGUCAGGAGGUCGCUGUAAAUGCUGGGAAAAGAAGCCGAAAAAACCCUGAGAAUGAACCUUCACACUCCAACAUCAAAAGGCCUAAGUGUGCAGAGGUCAACUUUCUGCCUAACUUUCCUCAAGGAGAGGAUCCCUCAAGCCUUGACCUUUUGAGGCAGGCUAUUGUCGAGGAAGUAAAGAAGACUGAGAGAAACCUACCCCUUAUUAGUAAGAUGAUGCAGAACACGUUUGCCUUGCGACGACAGACUAUUGUAAUGUCCUGCCCACCGGUGAAAGAGCUAAUGGACCUCUGGCCUGCUCUUCAUAUGCAGUCUGAGGUAUAUGUAGAGUUCCAACGGAUAACUAACCAGAACCUACCUAACACUUUCUAUGCCGAGCUUGAUCGCCACACUCCUCGUUUGAUGGCCUUAUUUAGACAGAAAGCUUCCAAAACUGAAAAGACUGCAGAUGCUUUGGCAAACAUUUUCAAAGUCCAUGAUACACAGGAAUUACAUGAUGUCCACACAAAGGCGUACCACUGUUCUCCAUGCCCUUCCUGAUUAUCUACUAGAGGAAGUCUCUGGAUUUUUCAGAACAUGUGUGGAUGAUAUGGAUGAGCCAGACCUGUGGGAUGCAUCAGUGGUCCUCCUUACAACAGUCAGUGAUGAUGCCACAAGCCCAGUUCACUACCACCCAGUGAGAGUCUCUGUCGUCCUAGAGGGUGAUGUGGUUGUCAAUCUCCCCAGGCUUGCUGAUGCCUUCCUGGAAGAUGAAGGGGGUGAUGUCCUGCAGGACCUAGCAAAACAUGCAAGGAAAAUCGUUGUGUACUAACCUGGGAUAUU